RNAcentral lists this ribosomal RNA (81 nucleotides) under Escherichia coli. RNAcentral describes it as "partial 16S ribosomal RNA". The stretch from base 18 to 81 matches the Rfam family "Bacterial small subunit ribosomal RNA", at positions 1 to 64 of the family's 1533-position model. Lineage: Bacteria; Pseudomonadati; Pseudomonadota; Gammaproteobacteria; Enterobacterales; Enterobacteriaceae. The record is from RNAcentral.
UUGAGCAUCAAACUUUUAAAUUGAAGAGUUUGAUCAUGGCUCAGAUUGAACGCUGGCGGCAGGCCUAACACAUGCAAGUCG